UGCUAUGCUUAUUUGAGGACCCAAGGAUGAGUGGAUCAAGGGCUUUUGUGGGCACAUUGGCUUUGCAGAUAUCUUAAAGGCCGAGUUGUUGGGUCUGCACUUUGGGUUGAGAAUUGCGUGGGAGGAGAAUUGUAGCAAUGUUCUAUGUGUUUCUGAUUCACUACUGCAUGCGGUUCAGUUGAUAAAGCAGCAAGUUCAAGGCUACUAUAUAUGCUGCUAUUGUAGAGCAUAUUAGAGACUUCUUGAAGGGUGGAGUUGAAGCAUUCUCUGGGAGAGGGGAAUCAGUGUGCGGAUGCCCUAGCCAAGAAAAGGGUGAUCAUGUUCCACGAUCUUCUUCUUUUGGAGUUAGCUUCCUUACUUUGGGUUGACGUCAUGCUAGUCUCUUUCUUGAGGCUUUAGUUAUUGUUUUCUGGUUUUGCUUUUUCCUUCAUCUACCAAAAAGUAAGAGGAAAUUAUUCUCAUUAGUUUCCUUUUUAUUUAUGUCGUUACCCCAUUGUUGUCAACUAUUUCACAUCACUUUAUAAGUGCAAUUAAUUUUUGGAGUUCUUUU
Molecule: long non-coding RNA, 550 nt
Filed under: Glycine max (soybean)
Lineage: Eukaryota; Viridiplantae; Streptophyta; Magnoliopsida; Fabales; Fabaceae
Description: long non-coding RNA (GMAX_LNC002916)
Source: RNAcentral